AGUACGGCGAGUGAAGCGGUAAAAGCUCAAAUUUGAAAUCUGGUACUUUCAGUGCCCGAGUUGUAAUUUGUAGAAUUUGUCUUUGAUUAGGUCCUUGUCUAUGUUCCUUGGAACAGGACGUCAUAGAGGGUGAGAAUCCCGUUUGGCGAGGAUACCUUUUCUCUGUAAGACUUUUUCGAAGAGUCGAGUUGUUUGGGAAUGCAGCUCAAAGUGGGUGGUAAAUUCCAUCUAAAGCUAAAUAUUGGCGAGAGACCGAUAGCGAACAAGUACAGUGAUGGAAAGAUGAAAAGAACUUUGAAAAGAGAGUGAAAAAGUACGUGAAAUUGUUGAAAGGGAAGGGCAUUUGAUCAGACAUGGUGUUUUUUGCAUGCACUCGCCUCUCGUGGGCUUGGGCCUCUCAAAAAUUUCACUGGGCCAACAUCAAUUCUGGCAGCAGGAUAAAUCAUUAAGAAUGUAGCUACUUCGGUAGUGUUAUAGCUUUUUGGAAUACUGUUAGCCGGGAUUGAGGACUGCGCUUCGGCAAGGAUGUUGGCAUAAUGGUUAAAUGCCGCCCGUCUUGAACCA
RNAcentral lists this ribosomal RNA (564 nucleotides) under Hanseniaspora uvarum. RNAcentral's name for it is "partial large subunit ribosomal RNA". It matches the Rfam family "Eukaryotic large subunit ribosomal RNA", at positions 82 to 661 of the family's 3401-position model. The record is from RNAcentral. Lineage: Eukaryota; Fungi; Ascomycota; Saccharomycetes; Saccharomycodales; Saccharomycodaceae.